GUCCACGCCCUAAACGAUGUCAACUAGGUGUUGGGGGAGGAGACUUCCUUAGUACCGCAGCUAACGCGUGAAGUUGACCGCCUGGGGAGUACGGUCGCAAGAUUAAAACUCAAAGGAAUUGACGGGGACCCCGCACAAGCGGUGGAUUAUGUGGAUUAAUUCGAUGCAACGCGAAAAACCUUACCUACCCUUGACAUGCCCGAAAGCUCGCAGAGAUGUGAGUGUGCCCGAAAGGGAAUCGGGACACAGGUGCUGCAUGGCUGUCGU
Molecule: ribosomal RNA, 267 nt
Filed under: uncultured bacterium
Lineage: Bacteria
Description: partial 16S ribosomal RNA
Rfam family: Bacterial small subunit ribosomal RNA
Source: RNAcentral